GGGCCCGCACAAGCGGUGGAGUAUGUGGUUUAAUUCGAAGAUACGCGCAGAACCUUACCAACACUUGACAUGUUCGUCGCGACUUUAAGAGAUUAAAGUUUUCGGUUCGGCCGGACGAAACACAGGUGCUGCAUGGCUGUCGUCAGCUCGUGUCGUGAGAUGUUGGGUUAAGUCCCGCAACGAGCGCAACCCUCACUUUUAGUUGCCAUCAUUAAGUUGGGCACUCUGAAAGAACUGCCAGUGAUAAGCUGGAGGAAGGUGGGGAUGACGUCAAGUCCUCAUGGCCCUUACGUGUUGGGCUACACACGUGCUACAAUGGUAUUUACAACAGGAAGCAAAACGGCAACGUUAAGCAAAUCCUAAAAAAUACCUCAGUUCGGAUUGCACUCUGCAACUCGAGUGCAUGAAGCUGGAAUUACUAGUAAUCGUGGAU
RNAcentral lists this ribosomal RNA (433 nucleotides) under uncultured bacterium. RNAcentral's name for it is "bacterial SSU rRNA". It matches the Rfam family "Bacterial small subunit ribosomal RNA", at positions 917 to 1349 of the family's 1533-position model. The record is from RNAcentral.